This 76-nucleotide transfer RNA is filed under the name Candidatus Omnitrophica bacterium CG11_big_fil_rev_8_21_14_0_20_63_9. Its description in RNAcentral is "tRNA-Ala". It matches the Rfam family "tRNA". From Rfam's summary of the family: Transfer RNA (tRNA) molecules are approximately 80 nucleotides in length. Their secondary structure includes four short double-helical elements and three loops (D, anti-codon, and T loops). Lineage: Bacteria; Pseudomonadati; Candidatus Omnitrophota. The record is from RNAcentral.
GGGGCAGUAGCUCAGCUGGGAGAGCGCAUGCAUGGCAUGCAUGAGGUCAGGGGUUCGAUCCCCCUCUGCUCCACCA